Molecule: long non-coding RNA, 265 nt
Filed under: Carica papaya (papaya)
Lineage: Eukaryota; Viridiplantae; Streptophyta; Magnoliopsida; Brassicales; Caricaceae
Description: long non-coding RNA (CPAP_LNC003807)
Source: RNAcentral
AAAGUCAUUGAAAAAGUCAAGAAUAUUAGUUUUGUAAACCUCCCAGUAAAGUUGCAGAAAUUUAAAAUUGAAGCCAUCUGGUCCGGGAGCUUUGUCCCCGUUACAUUCCUUGAGGCAGCUAUGAAUUUCAGCUUUUGAGAACUCAGCUUCCAGCUGUAGCUUGUCCAAAGUGUCUAAGCGAUCAAACUGCAGACCAUUUAAUUUAGGCCUGCAUUCUACCUCUUCCAUAUAUAGCCUUUUGAAGUAAGACAUGGCAUGAUCUCUC